RNAcentral lists this ribosomal RNA (521 nucleotides) under uncultured Lactobacillales bacterium. Its description in RNAcentral is "partial 16S ribosomal RNA". The record is from RNAcentral. Lineage: Bacteria; Bacillati; Bacillota; Bacilli; Lactobacillales.
CACGUAGUUAGCCGUGACUUUCUAAGUAAUUACCGUCAAAUAAAGGCCAGUUACUACCUCUAUCUUUCUUCACUACCAACAGAGCUUUACGAGCCGAAACCCUUCUUCACUCACGCGGCGUUGCUCCCAUCAGACUUUCGUCCAUUGUGGAAGAUUCCCUACUGCUGCCUCCCGUAGGAGUUUGGGCCGUGUCUCAGUCCCAAUGUGGCCGAUCAGUCUCUCAACUCGGCUAUGCAUCAUUGCCUUGGUAAGCUGUUACCUUACCAACUAGCUAAUGCACCGCAGGUCCAUCCAAGAGUGAUAGCAGAACCAUCUUUCAAACUCUAGACAUGCGUCUAGUGUUGUUAUCCGGUAUUAGCAUCUUGUUUCCAGGUUGUUACUCCCUAGUCCUUCGUUGGGCCGUACGGUUACCCUACGGUUCGUUACCUCCGACCCCGUCCGCCCGUCCUCGUCUUGUACUUCUUAGUUUUCUAUUUAGUGACUAGCUAACUAAAAUCAUCGUAGACAAGCUCGCUCGACUG